CGAUACUCCAUGUGUGUAUAUACAACAUUUUGUUUAUCCAUUCAUCAGUUCAUGAACACUUGGGUUGCUUCCAUCUUUUGGCAAUUGUGAAUAAUGCCCCUAAGCAGAGACUCGAACUGAUAUUUUCAACAGAUUUUAAUUAAAUGAGGUCUUUGACAGGGGCCAGGGAUUUAAGGGAAUGGGUCCCAAACCUGUCUGCGGCUGGAAUCACCGGGAAGCAUUACAAGAUGCUGAUGCCUGGGUCGCAGCCCCAGAGAUUGUGGUUUUAAUUGGUCUGGUGCAUGACUUGGACUUUGGAAUUUAAAAACGGUCUCCACGUGACUCUGAUGUGCAUCCGAGUUUGGGAACUGCCGCCCUAAGGGAUGGGGCGUUUUCUCCUUCUUCUGCAGCAGCAAGAAGCUUUCACUCCCUUGGGCACAUAUCCUAAUGACCAGGGGCAGAAGGUUGUUUUUUUGUUUGUUUGUUUGUUUUUGUCAACUAAAGUGACGUCCCCACCUUUCCCUUCCCUGUUAUGCAGGACACCGCGGGAGAAGAUAGACACAAUCUCUGCCCAAAUGGCGCUUCCAACCCGGCAGGGGAGACAGAGCGCAGCUAGGCCACCACCAAGGAGGAGGUGGAAGCUUUGUCAAGCUGUCGCUGAGAACCCCAGUCGACCGAAGGCAAAAUACAAGUCUCCAAUUCAGAAAACUUGGGUCAGAAAACCAUGAGGGAGCCAGCAGCGAGACAGAAGAGAGACCUGCAGUGAUUCGUGAUGAUCCUUGGGGACUCCACAUUUGUGGGAUUGAAGGGACAUUUGCAAGAGCCCAGAUUUUCUGUGGCUACAGAUGGGGCUGGCAACCAAGACCCCAUUAUUCAAGGCGCUGUUUACUAGUAAGCCAGUACACAUUUAGGACAUGUGCUUUCCAAAUUUUAUAUAACUGCAUAUUUAUAUAAUUUAUAAGUUAUACAUUUAUAAUUAGAAUGAAAAAAAUACCUUUAAGAAUAAACUAUGCCCUGCCCCCCUCCACUCAUCUCCUCCCCACCCCCAUCUCUCAUUACUCUACAGUCUCACACCUGUGUGGAAUCAUUUUCAUAGAGUCUAUUGCUCAAGCCAAGAUCCAAUCUGCAUUCCCAGUGCCCUGCAGUAGAAAGUCUGUGAUUCGAGAAAAGCUGUCACUGAAAGGGUUAUUGCUUUAUUGUGGCAUAAUUUAUAACGAUGAAAAGUUGGAAGCCACUUCAAUAUUUAAACACAGGGGAAUGCUUAAAUGGAAAACAUUUGUCUGCUUGAUUGAACAUUGGGUAGCUAUCAAAAAUGAUGUUCCCAGGGUCAAUAACUGGACUUAUGUGGAAAAUAUUUAACAAAGUUAGGUGGAAAAAAAAAAACAGUAUAAAAAUUGUAUAUAUACUUUCUCACUUUUUACCUAACCAGGGGGAAACACAUCUCUCAAACCUGUGUGUAGGGGGAAAGAAAUCUUGCAAGGAAAUACAGCAAGGUCAUGUACAUUUAUUGAGAGGAAUUUUGGUGACUUUUCCCUUUUCUUUUCUACUUUUCUGUAUUUUCCAAGUUUUCUGUUAUGUGAAUUACUAUUUUCUGAAAUGGAAAGAAUAGAUAAUAAACAUUUACAUAAAAAAUCA
Choloepus didactylus (southern two-toed sloth) is the source of this 1614-nucleotide long non-coding RNA. RefSeq lists it as uncharacterized. The record is from RefSeq and is a predicted model, not a curated record. The transcript has 2 exons. NCBI's taxonomy places the organism in Eukaryota, Metazoa, Chordata, Mammalia, Pilosa, Megalonychidae.